UCUGCCCAUGCGGGGAAGGAUGAGAAGCUUCGACUAAGGUUCGGCUCGAGCGUCAGCGAGAGAGCGUUGCCGCAGGCAACGACCCGAAGGGCGAAGCGCGCAGCGCUGAGUAAUCCUUCCCCCACCACCA
This 130-nucleotide small RNA is filed under the name Escherichia coli. RNAcentral's name for it is "RtT sRNA". It matches the Rfam family "RtT RNA". From Rfam's summary of the family: This family represents a bacterial cis-regulatory element known as RtT RNA. The exact function of RtT is unknown although it is thought that it may be involved in changing the cellular response in relation to amino acid starvation. The record is from RNAcentral. Lineage: Bacteria; Pseudomonadati; Pseudomonadota; Gammaproteobacteria; Enterobacterales; Enterobacteriaceae.